This 74-nucleotide transfer RNA is filed under the name Actinoplanes philippinensis. It matches the Rfam family "tRNA". Rfam says of the family: Transfer RNA (tRNA) molecules are approximately 80 nucleotides in length. Their secondary structure includes four short double-helical elements and three loops (D, anti-codon, and T loops). The record is from Rfam by way of RNAcentral. Lineage: Bacteria; Bacillati; Actinomycetota; Actinomycetes; Micromonosporales; Micromonosporaceae.
GUCGCCGUAGCUCAGCUGGUCAGAGCGCCGACCUGAUAAGUCGGAGGCCGGUGGUUCGAACCCACCCGGCGACA